RNAcentral lists this ribosomal RNA (311 nucleotides) under uncultured eukaryote. RNAcentral describes it as "partial 18S ribosomal RNA". It matches the Rfam family "Eukaryotic small subunit ribosomal RNA", at positions 1470 to 1796 of the family's 1831-position model. The record is from RNAcentral.
CCCCUAGACGUUCUGGGCUGCACGCGCGCUACAAUAAUACGCACAGCGAGUAUCACCGAGCUCGAAAGGGCAAGGUAAACAAUAGAAAAGGUACUGUAAUGGUUAUAGAUCCUUGUAAUUAUUGAUCUUCAACGAGGAAUUCCUAGUAAGUAUGUGUCAUCAUCACGCACUGAUUACGUCCCUGCCCUUUGUACACACCGCCCGUCGCUCCUACCGAUUGGGUGAGCCGAUGAAACGCUCGGAUGUAGGCUAUUCAUAGCCCGCAGAAGAGAUUUGAAUCGUAGCGCUUAGAGGAAGGAGAAGUCGUAACA